Molecule: long non-coding RNA, 808 nt
Organism: Monodelphis domestica (gray short-tailed opossum)
Lineage: Eukaryota; Metazoa; Chordata; Mammalia; Didelphimorphia; Didelphidae
Source: Ensembl
GUUCCUGCCAGAGCUUGCAUUCCCUUGGCAAUAUUUCUCACCAACUCCCUUGUGCCUCCAUGUUAUGCUAAGGCAUUAGAGAAGGAUAGCAGCUAGGCCUAAAUGUCGUUGUGACCCCAAGAGUGUACUUUGGAACCUACCUGCUUUUUGGAACCUACCUGCUUUUUGGAACCUACAUGCUUUUUGGAGGAGAUUUUAUGUAAGUGGUUGGGAAAAUCAAAGCUGAUAGGCCAUGGAGGGAAAAAAAGGCUAAGCUAUCUUAAUGAAGGGGAAGAGGAGGGAGGGAGGAGGGCAAUGGGAAGAAGGGAAGGGGGGUGGCAAGGGGGUACCAAAAGGGAAAAGAGUCAAGAGGAAGAAGAUGGAGAAAGGAUGAGAGAGAAGAUAGAGACCAAAGAAGAGAUAAAAGAAGACAGAGAAGAAAAAACAAGGAGAAAAGAAGGGACCAAUAUUUUACAUUGCCAUGAAACACCCAACCUUCAAACCUGUCAGUAUGCUCCCAUACCCUUUCCAAACGGUGAAACAGAUGGGAUUUCAGAAUCACAUUCUCAGACACCUCCAUAAGUCAGAUUUACUUGGUUCCAGUUUUCAUCAGCAACCAACCUUGGCUAACCCUUGCUCAAAUGACAAAUAUGGAUCUUUCUCGCCCUCAACCUGUGACUCUUUUCAUCAACACAACCCAGCAGAUCAUCUCCAGGGAUUUCCAAUGUUUGGGGGACAUAACAGACAAGAACCUUCUUCCUCAGCUUUGCUGACCCAGAAUUUCAUGUUCCAGGUUAAAAUUAAAGUUGGUGAUCAGAAGAUGUUUUAA